GGCGGUGUAGCUCAACUGGCUAGAGCGUACGGUUCAUACCCGUAAGGUUAAGAGUUCAAGUCUCUUCGCCGCUACCA
This 77-nucleotide transfer RNA is filed under the name Candidatus Izemoplasmatales bacterium. RNAcentral's name for it is "tRNA-Met". It matches the Rfam family "tRNA". Rfam says of the family: Transfer RNA (tRNA) molecules are approximately 80 nucleotides in length. Their secondary structure includes four short double-helical elements and three loops (D, anti-codon, and T loops). Further hydrogen bonds mediate the characteristic L-shaped molecular structure. tRNAs have two regions of fundamental functional importance: the anti-codon, which is responsible for specific mRNA codon recognition, and the 3' end, to which the tRNAs corresponding amino acid is attached (by aminoacyl-tRNA synthetases). tRNAs cope with the degeneracy of the genetic code in two manners: having more than one tRNA (with a specific anti-codon) for a particular amino acid; and 'wobble' base-pairing, i.e. permitting non-standard base-pairing at the 3rd anti-codon position. Lineage: Bacteria; Bacillati; Mycoplasmatota; Mollicutes; Candidatus Izemoplasmatales. The record is from RNAcentral.